This 751-nucleotide ribosomal RNA is filed under the name Pseudactinia varia. Its description in RNAcentral is "partial 12S ribosomal RNA". It matches the Rfam family "Bacterial small subunit ribosomal RNA", at positions 365 to 1422 of the family's 1533-position model. The record is from RNAcentral. Lineage: Eukaryota; Metazoa; Cnidaria; Anthozoa; Actiniaria; Actiniidae.
UGUGCAAUAAACGAAAGUAUGACACAGAGAGGACACAUUUAAUUGAGCCCGUCAAAUUAAGUGCCAGCCGACGCGGUUAAACUUAAGGGCUGGUCUUUAUAAGUAAAAAGGCGUAAAGGAUGUGUAGGCCAAGAAACGACCCAAGUAGGUAAAUGGAAUUUUUCUGGAGCGGUAGAAUGUGAGGAUAGAAAAUAGAACCCCAAAGGUAAAAACUAUUUACCACAAGGUAGGCUGAAACAUGAGAGUGUGGGGAGCAAACAGGAUUAGAGACCCUGGUAGUCCACACUGUGAACUUUGAAGAUGAUGCUUAGCAGACCCGAAAGGUAAAAUCUUCCGCCUGAGUAGUACGAUCGCAAGAUUAAAAUUCAAAAACUUUGGCUGUUCACUAUUUCGAUUAAAGGAGCGUGUAGUUUAAUUCGAUGGUCCGCGUGUUACCUUACCCCAACUUGAAUCUGUGACCGGUAUUGCAUGGCCGUCGUAAGUUCGUGUAUUAAGCUAGAAGGGACCCAACCCGGGCAUUUGCCCGGAGGAAGUCAGGUCUUAUGAUCCGAAUGUUGGGGGAUUUUUAUGCGCUACAUUUUCUUAUAUAAUGAGAAACCUGGAAGGUGAGUCUCUAAAGUAAGAGUUCGGAAGGUCGCUGUAAGACGACUGGAAGUUGGAUUUAAUAGUAAUCGGAAAGUAGGGCGUUCCGGUGAAUUGGUACAAGUGUUAGCACAAAUUGCCCGUCACCUUUACUUAGAAGGUUAUUCGG